RNAcentral lists this microRNA precursor (93 nucleotides) under Stegodyphus mimosarum. Its description in RNAcentral is "microRNA mir-598". Lineage: Eukaryota; Metazoa; Arthropoda; Arachnida; Araneae; Eresidae. The record is from RNAcentral.
UCCUGCUAAUGCUGUGAGCAAGGGAGUUGGGAUGCUGUAUGUUGGCAAUUAUUCGCCAACAUACAGCAUCCCAACUCCCUUGCUUCACCUUCC